This 729-nucleotide ribosomal RNA is filed under the name uncultured bacterium. RNAcentral describes it as "bacterial SSU rRNA". It matches the Rfam family "Bacterial small subunit ribosomal RNA", at positions 28 to 755 of the family's 1533-position model. The record is from RNAcentral.
AUUGAACGCUGGCGGCGUGCCUAACACAUGCAAGUCGAGCGGCAGCGCGGGGCAACCCUGGCGGCGAGCGGCGGACGGGUGAGUAACGCUUGGGAAUCUGCCUGUUAGUGGGGGAUAACUCGGGGAAACUCGAGCUAAUACCGCAUACGCACUACGGUGGAAAGCCGGGACCGCAUGGCCUGGCGCUAACAGAUGAGCCCAAGUCGGAUUAGCUAGUUGGUAGGGUAAUGGCCUACCAAGGCGACGAUCCGUAACUGGUCUGAGAGGACGACCAGUCACACCGGAACUGAGACACGGUCCGGACUCCUACGGGAGGCAGCAGUGGGGAAUAUUGGACAAUGGGCGAAAGCCUGAUCCAGCGACGCCGCGUGGGUGAAGAAGGCCUGCGGGUUGUAAAGCCCUUUCGGUGGGAAGAAAAGCCUCGACCUAAUACGUCGGGGUCUUGACGUAACCCAUAGAAGAAGCACCGGCUAACUCUGUGCCAGCAGCCGCGGUAAUACAGAGGGUGCGAGCGUUAAUCGGAAUUACUGGGCGUAAAGCGCGCGUAGGCGGCUUUGCAAGUCGGGUGUGAAAUCCCAGGCUUAACCUGGGAACUGCACCCGAGACUGCAUUGCUAGAGUAUGGGAGAGGGAAGUGGAAUUUCCAGGUGUAGCGGUGAAAUGCGUAGAUAUCUGAAGGAACAUCAGUGGCGAAAGCGACUUCCUGGACCAAUACUGACGCUCAUGUGCG